AUACGGAGGGUGCAAGCGUUAAUGGGAAUUACUGGGCGUAAAGGGUACGUAGGCGGUUAGAUAAGUUGGAUGAGAAAGCCCUGGGCUCAACCUAGGAACUGCAUUCAAAACUGUCUAACUAGAGUGUAUAAGAGGUUAGCGGAAUUCCAGGUGUAGCAGUGAAAUGCGUAGAUAUCUGGAGGAACAUCAGUGGCGAAGGCGGCUAACUGGUAUAACACUGACGCUGAGGUACGAAAGCGUGGGGAGCGAACGGGAUUAGAAACCCCGGUAGUCC
Molecule: ribosomal RNA, 274 nt
Filed under: uncultured bacterium
Lineage: Bacteria
Description: partial 16S ribosomal RNA
Rfam family: Bacterial small subunit ribosomal RNA
Source: RNAcentral